This 786-nucleotide ribosomal RNA is filed under the name uncultured archaeon. RNAcentral describes it as "bacterial SSU rRNA". It matches the Rfam family "Archaeal small subunit ribosomal RNA", at positions 85 to 876 of the family's 1478-position model. The record is from RNAcentral.
ACUGCUCAGUAACACGUGGAUAACCUGCCCUGCGGUGGGAAAUAACCCCGGGAAACUGGGGAUAAUGUCCCAUAGGCUACGGAUACUGGAAUGUUCUGUAGUUGAAAGAUUUAUCGCCGCAGGAUGGGUCUGCGCCCGAUUAGGUUGUUGUUGGGGUAACGGCCCAACAAGCCCUUGAUCGGUACGGGUUGUGGGAGCAAGAGCCCGGAGAUGGAUUCUGAGACACGAAUCCAGGCCCUACGGGGCGCAGCAGGCGCGAAAACUUUACAAUGCGGGAAACCGUGAUAAGGGAACUCCGAGUGUCCGUAAAUGCGGACUGUCCGUAUGUUUAAAAAGCAUGCGAAGAAAGGGCCGGGCAAGACCGGUGCCAGCCGCCGCGGUAAUACCGGCGGCUCGAGUGGUGGCCACUAUUACUGGGCUUAAAGCGUUCGUAGCUGGGUUGUUAAGUCUCUUGGGAAAUCUACCGGCUUAACCGAUAGGCGUCCAAGGGAUACUGGCAUUCUAGGGACCGGGAGAGGUGAGGGGUACUUCAGGGGUAGGAGUGAAAUCUUGUAAUCCCUGGGGGACCACCUGUGGCGAAGGCGCCUCACCAGAACGGCUCCGACAGUGAGGGACGAAAGCUGGGGGAGCAAACCGGAUUAGAUACCCGGGUAGUCCCAGCCGUAAACGAUGCGCGUUAGGUGUAUCGAUGACCACGAGUCAUCGAGGUGCCGAAGGGAAACCGUGAAACGCGCCGCCUGGGAAGUACGGUCGCAAGGCUGAAACUUAAAGGAAUUGGCGGGGGAG